RNAcentral lists this ribosomal RNA (434 nucleotides) under uncultured bacterium. RNAcentral describes it as "partial 16S ribosomal RNA". It matches the Rfam family "Bacterial small subunit ribosomal RNA", at positions 29 to 507 of the family's 1533-position model. The record is from RNAcentral.
AGCGAACGCUGGCGGCAGGCCUAACACAUGCAAGUCGAACGAACCUUUCGGGGUUAGUGGCGGACGGGUGAGUAACACGUGGGAACGUGCCUUUAGGUUCGGAAUAACUCAGGGAAACUUGUGCUAAUACCGAAUGUGCCCUUCGGGGGAAAGAUUUAUCGCCUUUAGAGCGGCCCGCGUCUGAUUAUCUAGUUGGUUGAGGUAAUGGCUCACCAAGGCGACGAUCAGUAGCUGGUCUGAGAGGAUGAUCAGCGACAUUGGGACUGAGACACGGCCCAAACUCCUACGGGAGGCAGCAGUGGGGAAUCUUGCGCAAUGGGCGAAAGCCUGACGCAGCCAUGCCGCGUGAAUGAUGAAGGUCUUAGGAUUGUAAAAUUCUUUCAACGGGGACGAUAAUGACGGUACCCGGAGAAGAAGCCCCGGCUAACUUCGUG